Molecule: long non-coding RNA, 227 nt
Organism: Salvelinus fontinalis (brook trout)
Lineage: Eukaryota; Metazoa; Chordata; Actinopteri; Salmoniformes; Salmonidae
Exons: 3
Source: RefSeq, a predicted model, not a curated record
AUGACGGUGUGCUAUCAGACGGGGAUGUCAAGCAGAUACGGCUGUCUGUUUGAGAAGAAGCUCUGCCCCAGAGACCAGCCCUGCUCAGAUGAUGGGCUGUUUGGCCAGUAUCUGCUGCCCCAGCAUUAGAGGGUUCUGUUGGGUUCUGAUCUGUUCUCUGUACUCUGUAGGUUGGCUGUUUGGCCACAAGAGAGGGUUCUGAUGUGUUCUGCUGUGUUCUCUAUAUU